CUGAAGUCAAGCUGCUAGGUCAGUUACACAGGGAGCCACACUGAAGACAAGCUGCUAGGUCAGUUACACAGGGAGCCACACUGAAGACAAGCUGCUAGGUCAGUUACACAGGGAGCCACACUGAAGACAAGCUGCUAGGUCAGUUACACAGUGAGCCACACUGAAGACAAGCUGCUAGGUCAGUUACACAGGGAGCCACACUGAAGACAAGCUGCUAGGUCAGUUACACAGGGAGCCACACUGAAGACAAGCUGCUAGGUCAGUUACACAGUGAGCCACACUGAAGACAAGCUGCUAGGUCAGUUACACAGUGAGCCACACUGAAGACAAGCUGCUAGGUCAGUUACACAGUGAGCCACACUGAAGACAAGCUGCUAGGU
Molecule: long non-coding RNA, 380 nt
Organism: Oncorhynchus keta (chum salmon)
Lineage: Eukaryota; Metazoa; Chordata; Actinopteri; Salmoniformes; Salmonidae
Exons: 4
Source: RefSeq, a predicted model, not a curated record